AGUGCUUUAUAUCAUCUGUACAAUAACAGAUGGAAAAUAUUUUUUGAAGAAGCCAUACGCUUUUUAUUUUACUAGUUUAACCUUAGUUUUUAAAACUAAUUUUCACAUAGCAAAUUCACGAACAGCUAUAAGCAGAAAUAUUGAGUUCAGAAUUAUAAAAAAUCUUUCACUUUACAAGUCAACCGCAAAAAAUUCUACAUUUAAAAGUUAGCAGACAGGAAAAUGUUCAUUUAGCCAUUCCCUGCAUGCGUUCCUGCAUUUCAUAGCCACUGUUUGUGUGGCAGUUCGACGGAACUGUCCGAGCAAUAGACGAGCAGGAAAACGACACCUACACAGGAAAGAAAACUGUUGAAAAUUUUGUAUUUACUCGACUGGUCAGAGAAAAGCCAAGCGUGCGGCGCCAGAGUAUACUGAGGGGAGAGUCGAGCGAAAUGUAGCGUAGAAUAUAAAGAAACUCAAAGCUGCUGCAGAAAUAUUUACGCACAAAUUCAGUAAAAACAACAAUAACAAUACGCACACAAGUAUGCACAUGGAUGUUUAAAACAAGAGAGCCAAACUAGCAGAAAAUUGUAGAAAAGUGGAAAAUCAUUUGCAAGCAAAAAGGCAGCAAAGUGUCAGAAUGUUUAGCAAGCGCCUGGGGCGAAGUGAAGAUGAGAUGCAGAGAGCCGGAACAGUCAAGCAGUUUUGGCAGAUGGACCCAACAGCAGCGGGUGGCGAAGGCGAAGAGCUCUGAAGUUGCGGCUAGUAAGGCAAAGGCAUGCUAGAAAUGUAAGAAAACCAAGACUAAGACUCGGUUUAAACACUUCAGCAGAGCAGACAAACAAAAACAAACACUUGUCCCUCGGAACAAGCCACUGGCCACUUCACAGUAUGCUGUGCACGGUGCACACACAUAAGGACGAGAAGGGUUCAGUUUGCCAACGCGUAGUGUGAAAUUUAUGUGUAUUAUGCUCUUCAAGGAUGCAAGAUUAUGUGUGUGUGUGUGUUUGUGUGUGGAAUUUUUGAAAUGGGAAAAGUGGCAAAUGUGUUUGAGCAACAAUAAAUUACAGCAUGUCGGACCGCUGGUUACGCAAUGUGGAAAUAACUAAGUGUGCUCAGCGAUCGAAGGCGGCAGCACAUUUGUAGCAGAUGCAGUUCA
Non-coding RNA from Bactrocera oleae (olive fruit fly), 1138 nucleotides. The record is from RefSeq and is a predicted model, not a curated record. NCBI's taxonomy places the organism in Eukaryota, Metazoa, Arthropoda, Insecta, Diptera, Tephritidae.